CAGUAGCCGCGGGAAUACGAGGGGGGCGAGCGUUGUUCGGAAUUAUUGGGCGUAAAGGGUGCGUAGGCGGUUCGGUAAGUCUUAUGUGAAAUCUUCGGGCUCAACUCGAAGUCUGCGUGAGAAACUGCCGGGCUUGAGUGUGGGAGAGGUGAGUGGAAUUUCCGGUGUAGCGGUGAAAUGCGUAGAUAUCGGAAGGAACACCUGUGGCGAAAGCGGCUCACUGGACCACAACUGACGCUGAUGCACGAAAGCUAGGGGAGCAAACAGGAUUAGAUACCCCAGUAGUCCCUGUCUCUUAUAC
RNAcentral lists this ribosomal RNA (301 nucleotides) under uncultured bacterium. Its description in RNAcentral is "partial 16S ribosomal RNA". It matches the Rfam family "Bacterial small subunit ribosomal RNA", at positions 509 to 807 of the family's 1533-position model. The record is from RNAcentral.